Molecule: long non-coding RNA, 4894 nt
Filed under: Homo sapiens (human)
Lineage: Eukaryota; Metazoa; Chordata; Mammalia; Primates; Hominidae
Description: HSALNT0288564
Source: RNAcentral
GUCGCAUUGACGAUUGGGCAGGGUCCUGCGUAAGGGAGCACACGACCCUGGAAGUAGCGAGCAACCGGAUUGGCGGUUUCCUUCGCAAACGUCUUGCCUUCUGGGGCCUGGCAAUUGGUCUUUCCAAGUGUCGGAAGCGACGGGGAUAUGGUCUGGAAACAUCUGGUUUUGAACAUCUGGUAUUGAAGCGCUGGGAGGCAAAACGUCUGCCCCGCGCGCCCAUGCGGCGAGUGUCGGUCCGUGCCCCUGCUCAAGGACAGCUCGGGCCACGUGCGCCCCGGUCCCCAGAAGGCCUGGCUCCGGACUGUGCUGCCCUGGGGCGUCACUGGGCAAGGAGAGCAGUGGGUCGGCGUCGAGGGGAGGGGACCUGGGCUUCGGAGCGGUUGCUCCGGGUGGGCACUGGCCGCGCAACCCCUCUCCCGCGCAGAGACGCUAGCUCCACCGUGAGCGGGAACGGCCCUUGGGCGGGUUGUAGCGUUGGCUCCAGAUUCCCUGGGUCUCGCGCACUGAGAGCCUGAGCCGCCUGAGGGAGGCAAAGCGCCCUGGAGCCGCGUCCCCUGCCUUGCAAGUUAGUUCUCCAACACGCGAAAAGGGUAGAGAGAACUGAUGCGGUGACAGAAGCAUUGGGUGAAGUUCACUUGGCACCACCCAAUUUCUAAUUCAGCCAUAUUUUUCAUAGUUCUACAAACAAACGUCCAGCUGGGUCUGGGUGCUGUAAUCCCUGCACUUUGGGAGGCCCAGGCGAGAGGCUGUAUUGAAGCCAAGAGUUUGAGACCAGCCUGGGCAAAACAGCAAGACUCCAUCUCUACAAAAGUUUAAAAAAUUAUGUAGAUAUGAUGGUGUGUGCUGCUAGUCCCAACUACUUGGGAAGCUAAGACGAGAGGAUCGCUUGAGGCCAGGAAUUUGAGACCAGCCUGGACUCCAUGUAUAGAAAUAUCAGUGAAGUCUUGAUCGCCUGGCUUCAAGUGAACCUCUGGAGAGACAGGACUAGCUGGAUUUUCUAGGCCAACUAAGAAUCCCUAAGCCUAGCUGGGAAGGUGACUACAUCCACCUUUAAACAUGGGGCUGGCAACUUAGCUCACACCCAACCAAUAAGGUAGUAAAGAGAGCUCACUAAAAUGCUAAUUAGGCAAAAACAGGAGGUAAAGAAAUAGCCAAUCAUCUAUUGCCUGAGAGCACAGAGGAAGGGACAAUGAUCGGGAUAUAAACCCAGGCAUUCAAGCCAGCAAUGGCUACCCUCUUUGGGUCCCCUCCGUUUGUAUGGGAGCUCUGUUUUCAUGCUAUUUUAAAGUCUUGCAACUGCACACUCUUCUGAUCCAUGUUUGUUACAGCUUGAGCUGAGCUUUUGCUCACCAUCCAGCAAUGCUCUUUGCCACCAUCACAGACCCGCCACUGACUUCCAUCCCUCUGGAUCCAGCAGGGUGUCAGCUGUGCUCUUGAUCCAGUGAGGCACCUGUUGCCACUCCCAGUUGGGCUAAAGGCUCACCAUUGUUCCUGCAAGGCUAAGUGCGCGGGUUUGUCUAGUUGAGCUGAACUAGUUGAGCUGGGUUCCACAGUUCUCUUCUGUGACCCAUGACUUCUAAUAGAGCUGUAACACUCACAGCAUGGCCCGAGAUUCCUACUUGGAAUGCAUGAGGCCAAGAACCCCAGGUCAGAGUAGAAGAGGCUCACCACCAUCUUGGAAGUGGCCCCCACCAUCUUGGGAGCUCUAGAAGCAAGUCCCCCUGGCAACCUUUUGGCAACCACAAAGGGACCUCCAAAGCAAAUCGAAGCUGUAAAACUACGAAUCAUUCUUCAGAUGGAGCCACAGAUUCAGUCCAUGACUAAGAUCUACCACAGACCCCUGGACCAGCCUGCUAGCCCAUGCUCCGACAUUGAUGACAUCAAAGGCACCCCUCACAGGGAAAUCUCAACUCCACAACCCCUACUACAAUACAAUUCAGCAGGAAACAAAGUGAUCAUUGGCCAACCUCCCCAACAGCACUUGGGAUUUCCUGUCGAGAAGGGGGACUGAGAAGUAGAACUAACUGGAUUUCCUAGGUCGACUAAGAAUCCCUAAGCCUAGCUGUGAAGGUGACCGCAUCCACCUUUAAACACAGGGCUUGCAACUUAGCUCACACCCAACCAUUCAAGUAGAAAAGAGAGCUCACUAAAAUGAUAAUUAGGUAAAAACAGGAGGUAAAGAAAUAGCCAAUCAUCUAUCACCUAAGAACACAGUGGGAGGGACAAUGAUGGGAUAUGCACCCAGGCAUUGGAGCCAGCAAUGGAUCCCCUCCUUUUGUAUGGGAGCUCUGUAUUCACGCUAUUAUAAAGUCUUACAUCUGCACAUUCUUCUGGUCCAUGUUUGUUAUGGCUCAAGCUGAGCUUUUGCUCUCUGUCCACUCCUGCUCUUUGCUGCCAUUGCAGACCCACCACUGACUUACACCCCUCCAGAUCCAGCAGGGUGUCAGCUGUGCUCCUCAUCCAGUGAGGCACCUAUUGCUGCUCCUGAUUGGACUAAAGGCUUGCCAUUGUUCCUGCAUGGCUAAGUGCCUGGGUUUGUCCUAAUUGAGCUGAACACUAGUCCCUGGGUUCCACAGUUCUCUUCUGUGACCCACGACUUCUAAUAGAGCUAUAACACUCACUGCAUGGCCCAAGAUUCCAUUCCUUGGAAUCCGUGAGGCCAAGAACCCCAGAUCAGAGAAGAAGAGGCUUGCCACCAUCUUGGAAGUGACACAAGAUGCCAUCUGGGGAGCUCUAGGAGCAAGGACCCCUUGGUAGCACUUCCAGCUCAGCCUCCCAAAUCACGCUAUUACAAGCAUGAGCCACUCUUUGUGGCCGCCACCUACUUUUUGAACUCCAAUUGUAUUAAACACCAUAAUAGACACUUUUGUCUGUUAUAUUUCAUGGAUCAUAAACUUUUUUAUGUAUAAUUUUACCUUUUAUUUUAGAUUCGGGUGGUACAAAUGCAGGUGUUUUACAUGGGUAUAUCAUGUGACACCAAGGUUUGGAAUACAGAUGAUCCCAUCACCCAAGUGCUGAGCAUAGAAUCCAACUGUUAGUUUUUCAGCCUUGCCCCCUCCAUCUCUCCACACUCUAAUAUUCCCUAAUAUCUACUGUUCCUAAAUUUAUGUCGAUGUAUAUAUUAUAUUUCUUAGAGUUCCCUGAAUAAUGGUCAGGGAAGGUAAUGUGAAUGAUGCAAAGAUGAUUAUGAAUAAAAUAUUCAGUUUUCUGGAGUGAGCAGGACACUUUUUCAUGCAAAAUUCCAUUUGAAUCCUCCACCUCCAGCCAGCGCGGUGUAGGGAGAGGAAGAGAGACAGACCUAUUAAAAGUUAUAUUUGUUCUCUUGCAGUCUUGUGACUUACUUCUUAAUGAAAACCCUUAUUGUUUUAUAAGAAAAGGAGAAUGAAUGCAGUGUUUGAGAUGGAGUUAUCUAGAAUUUUUAGAAGCAUAAACAGACAUUGAAAAAUUAUAGAAAACAAAGGCAGAAAAGCAGAAAAGACAUAGUAGGUCAGAUGGUAUUUUAGGCAAAUACACCAUAAACUGGCCACCCAGGUCUGCAUCUCUAGGGCUUUCCCAAAGAGGAGCAAAGCAGUUUAUAUUCUAUUAUUAUCACCACCAUCACCUUUAUUUCCCCCCUUACAUGAUGGAUGUCAAUAUCAUGAUCAUUCUCGUUGUCUGUAUAACCGUCAUCAUCAUCAUUAAUACCUCAUAAAUUUUUUCAUGUUAUUUUUAACAUAGUUAGAAAGAAAGAGAUUUUGGGCCUCCCAAAUCACUAAGCUAAAAGGAAAAGUCAAGCUGGAAACUGCUCAGGGCAAACCUGCCUUCCAUUCUAUGCAAAGUCACCGUCUGUUCACUAAGACAGAUGUAUAUUCUGAUUGCUUCUUUUGGAAAGACUUAUCAGAAACUCAAAUGAAUGCAACCAUUUUUCUCUCAGCUACUUGUGACCUGGAAGCCAGUUCCCUGCUUCUGUUGUCCCCAUCUUUCUGGAAGAAGCUAAUAUACUUCUUACAUAUAUUGAUUGAUGUCUCAUAUCUCUCUACAAUGUAUAAAACUAAGCUGUUCCCCUACCAACUUGGGCACAUGUCAUCAGGACUUCCUGAGGUUGUGUCAUGGAUGUACGUCCUAAAUCUUGGCAAAAUAAACUUUCUAAAUUAAACCAGACCCAUCUCAAAUUUUGGCAGCUCACAAUAGCACAUAAACAACACACCUUCCCGUUCCCCAAAAUAUUAGCGCAGGAUAAAAAUCUAAGAGUAUUUCAUAGCAACUGAUAGUUUGACCAAAAAAAAAAAAAGUUUUCUUUUCCCAAAAUAAAGUUCUGUGGCUUCUGUCAGGGAAAGUUUUUUGUUUGCUUAUUUGUGGGUUUUUUGUUUAGUUUGGUUUCGUCUUUUGUUUGUGGCUUUGGUGGUUUGUGGUUGGGUUUCUUUCUGGCUUAAACAUUUCUUGGUGAACAAAUGUUUAUGUCUUCAGGUCUGUAGACUUAGAUAACUAUCUUAAUCUGAGAAAUCUAAAGUUUUGAAUUGUUCUGUGAAUACCAGUGAAGGAAUCCACCUUCCCUCUGAAACCAUAUUCACAAGGCCUAACUUGAGGAUGCUAGAACCAUUUUCAACAACAAAGACACCACAUUCAUGCUUCCAUGGCAUACUGCAUGUCCACUUCAAGAUAGCACCUUUGUAUACAUUUGAUUAUUCCCCUUACACCCAUCUUACUUUGUAGUGUCUUCUGAAUGAUGAACAACCCAAGACUUAUAUGGUCAGAACUGAGAUCUGAGAUUGUCAGAACAAAGUGUCCUACUGUUUUUUUUCUGCUUGGAAUGUUAUUCCACAAUAUUCUACAAUAUUCAGUGCCAUGCAAUUGAAUGUGAAAUAUUCAAUAAAUAUUCAAUAUUCAAAAACAUAUUCAAUGCUAUUCAAAA